GGAGCUUGCUCCUCUGACGUUAGCGGCGGACGGGUGAGUAACACGUGGAUAACCUACCUAUAAGACUGGGAUAACUUCGGGAAACCGGAGCUAAUACCGGAUAAUAUAUUGAACCGCAUGGUUCAAUAGUGAAAGACGGUUUUGCUGUCACUUAUAGAUGGAUCCGCGCCGCAUUAGCUAGUUGGUAAGGUAACGGCUUACCAAGGCAACGAUGCGUAGCCGACCUGAGAGGGUGAUCGGCCACACUGGAACUGAGACACGGUCCAGACUCCUACGGGAGGCAGCAGUAGGGAAUCUUCCGCAAUGGGCGAAAGCCUGACGGAGCAACGCCGCGUGAGUGAUGAAGGUCUUCGGAUCGUAAAACUCUGUUAUUAGGGAAGAACAAAUGUGUAAGUAACUAUGCACGUCUUGACGGUACCUAAUCAGAAAGCCACGGCUAACUACGUGCCAGCAGCCGCGGUAAUACGUAGGUGGCAAGCGUUAUCCGGAAUUAUUGGGCGUAAAGCGCGCGUAGGCGGUUUUUUAAGUCUGAUGUGAAAGCCCACGGCUCAACCGUGGAGGGUCAUUGGAAACUGGAAAACUUGAGUGCAGAAGAGGAAAGUGGAAUUCCAUGUGUAGCGGUGAAAUGCGCAGAGAUAUGGAGGAACACCAGUGGCGAAGGCGACUUUCUGGUCUGUAACUGACGCUGAUGUGCGAAAGCGUGGGGAUCAAACAGGAUUAGAUA
This 724-nucleotide ribosomal RNA is filed under the name uncultured Staphylococcus sp. Its description in RNAcentral is "bacterial SSU rRNA". It matches the Rfam family "Bacterial small subunit ribosomal RNA", at positions 75 to 784 of the family's 1533-position model. The record is from RNAcentral. Lineage: Bacteria; Bacillati; Bacillota; Bacilli; Caryophanales; Staphylococcaceae.